Molecule: unclassified non-coding RNA, 456 nt
Filed under: Hevea brasiliensis (rubber tree)
Lineage: Eukaryota; Viridiplantae; Streptophyta; Magnoliopsida; Malpighiales; Euphorbiaceae
Source: RNAcentral
AAAAAAGAAAAAGAAAAAGAAAAAUAAAUUCUUCGAUGUCUUAUCCCUAUCCUCUAGUUUCUUUCUGGAAUAAGAUGUAUGUUAAUGUCAUAAUCUAGAAGUUUUUAUGUAUGUUGCAAGUUUGGCUUCAAUUAAUGGCUUCCUUUGUUUCAUGAAGAGUAGCGUAUGUGGAAAAUAUUUCCUUAAAAUAUGAAUUGUUUAUGUUAUUUAGCUGUAAUGUUAAAUCAAUUGGUAAAAUAUUUUUUUGUGCAUUUUAUGCACAUUGAAAAAAAUUAAUUUUUAAUGCGAUCAAUUAUAAUAUGUCAAUUAAUAAGAAUAUGAUUUUCAGCUAUAACGUGUCUCAUGUCAAAAUUUAGAAGUUCUGACAAUUUUGUAAUUUUUUGGUCAGUUUAUGGCUUCUUUCCUUUCAAAGAAAGGAGCUUGUGGAAUAUAUUUUAUUAAAAAAAUGAAUAUUUU